UUGACCUCGGAUCAGGUAGGGAUACCCGCUGAACUUAAGCAUAUCAAUAAGCGGAGGAAAAGAAACCAACAGGGAUUGCCUCAGUAACGGCGAGUGAAGCGGCAACAGCUCAAAUUUGAAAUCUGGCUCUUUCAGGGUCCGAGUUGUAAUUUGUAGAAGAUGCUUUGGGUGUAGCUCCGGUCUAAGUUCCUUGGAACAGGACGUCAUAGAGGGUGAGAAUCCCGUAUGUGACUGGGUGCUUUCGCUCGUGUAAAGCUCUUUCGACGAGUCGAGUUGUUUGGGAAUGCAGCUCAAAAUGGGUGGUAAAUUUCAUCUAAAGCUAAAUAUUGGCCAGAGACCGAUAGCGCACAAGUAGAGUGAUCGAAAGAUGAAAAGCACUUUGGAAAGAGAGUUAAACAGUACGUGAAAUUGUUGAAAGGGAAGCGCUUGCAACCAGACUUGCGCGCUGUUGAUCAUCCGAGCUUCUGCCCGGUGCACUCGACAGCGUUCAGGCCAGCAUCGGUUUUGGUGGGCGGAUAAAGGCCUUGGGAAUGUAGCUUCUUUCGGGGAGUGUUAUAGCCCUCGGUGCAAUGCGCCCUACCGGGACCGAGGACCGCGCUUCGGCUAGGAUGCUGG
RNAcentral lists this ribosomal RNA (615 nucleotides) under Hyaloscypha hepaticicola. RNAcentral describes it as "partial 28S ribosomal RNA". It matches the Rfam family "Eukaryotic large subunit ribosomal RNA", at positions 1 to 629 of the family's 3401-position model. The record is from RNAcentral. Lineage: Eukaryota; Fungi; Ascomycota; Leotiomycetes; Helotiales; Hyaloscyphaceae.